Unclassified non-coding RNA from Erinaceus europaeus (western European hedgehog), 313 nucleotides. Its record names the gene 7SK. It matches the Rfam family "7SK RNA". Rfam says of the family: 7SK was discovered as an abundant small nuclear RNA in the mid-70s but a possible function has only recently been suggested. Two independent studies have found that 7SK RNA binds the CDK9/cyclin T complex (known as elongation factor P-TEFb). P-TEFb activates transcription by phosphorylating the C-terminal domain of RNA polymerase II. NCBI's taxonomy places the organism in Eukaryota, Metazoa, Chordata, Mammalia, Eulipotyphla, Erinaceidae. The record is from Ensembl.
GGAUGUGGGGGCAGUCUGGCUAUGGCAUAUGUCACCCCUUUGAUCACCAGGGCUGAUUCGGCUGAUCUGGCUGGCUAGGCAGGUGUCCCCUUCCUCCUUCACCGCUCCAUGUGCAUCCCUCCUGAAGCUGCGUGCUGGGUCAAACAGGACAGCUUUUGGUCGAGGGUAAACGAGUAGCUGUGCUCCCCUGCUAGAAACUCCAAACAAGCGCUCAAGGGCAAUUAAGUUUUUAACAUUUCAAGUUAUUCAAGGAAGAAAAGUGUAAGCCUUAAAAUAUAUUUGCAUUAGCAAUUAUGAAACUUGGGCUUUUGGU